UUGACGCUGAGGUUGGUACUUGUACCGACUGGAUGAGCAGCGAACGGGUGAGUAACGCGUGGGGAAUCUGCCUUUGAGCGGGGGACAACAUUUGGAAACGAAUGCUAAUACCGCAUAAAAACUUUAAACACAAGUUUUAAGUUUGAAAGAUGCAAUUGCAUCACUCAAAGAUGAUCCCGCGUUGUAUUAGCUAGUUGGUGAGGUAAAGGCUCACCAAGGCGAUGAUACAUAGCCGACCUGAGAGGGUGAUCGGCCACAUUGGGACUGAGACACGGCCCAAACUCCUACGGGAGGCAGCAGUAGGGAAUCUUCGGCAAUGGACGAAAGUCUGACCGAGCAACGCCGCGUGAGUGAAGAAGGUUUUCGGAUCGUAAAACUCUGUUGGUAGAGAANAACGUUGGUGAGAGUGGAAAGCUCAUCAAGUGACGGUAACUACCCAGAAGGGACGGCUAACUNCGUGCCAGCAGCCGCGGUAAUNCGUAGGUCCCGAGCGUUGUCCGGAUUAUUUGGGCGUAAAGCGAGCGCAGGUGGUUAUAAAGUCUGGUGUAAAAGGCAGUGGCUCANCC
RNAcentral lists this ribosomal RNA (566 nucleotides) under Lactococcus lactis subsp. lactis. RNAcentral describes it as "bacterial SSU rRNA". It matches the Rfam family "Bacterial small subunit ribosomal RNA", at positions 62 to 614 of the family's 1533-position model. Lineage: Bacteria; Bacillati; Bacillota; Bacilli; Lactobacillales; Streptococcaceae. The record is from RNAcentral.